AUACAUGCAAGUCGAGCGAACGGACGAGAAGCUUGCUUCUCUGAUGUUAGCGGCGGACGGGUGAGUAACACGUGGAUAACCUACCUAUAAGACUGGGAUAACUUCGGGAAACCGGAGCUAAUACCGGAUAAUAUUUUGAACCGCAUGGUUCAAAAGUGAAAGACGGUCUUGCUGUCACUUAUAGAUGGAUCCGCGCUGCAUUAGCUAGUUGGUAAGGUAACGGCUUACCAAGGCAACGAUGCAUAGCCGACCUGAGAGGGUGAUCGGCCACACUGGAACUGAGACACGGUCCAGACUCCUACGGGAGGCAGCAGUAGGGAAUCUUCCGCAAUGGGCGAAAGCCUGACGGAGCAACGCCGCGUGAGUGAUGAAGGUCUUCGGAUCGUAAAACUCUGUUAUUAGGGAAGAACAUAUGUGUAAGUAACUGUGCACAUCUUGACGGUACCUAAUCAGAAAGCCACGGCUAACUACGUGCCAGCAGCCGCGGUAAUACGUAGGUGGCAAGCGUUAUCCGGAAUUAUUGGGCGUAAAGCGCGCGUAGGCGGUUUUUUAAGUCUGAUGUGAAAGCCCACGGCUCAACCGUGGAGGGUCAUUGGAAACUGGAAAACUUGAGUGCAGAAGAGGAAAGUGGAAUUCCAUGUGUAGCGGUGAAAUGCGCAGAGAUAUGGAGGAACACCAGUGGCGAAGGCGACUUUCUGGUCUGUAACUGACGCUGAUGUGCGAAAGCGUGGGGAUCAAACAGGAUUAGAUACCCUGGUAGUCCACGCCGUAAACGAUGAGUGCUAAGUGUUAGGGGGUUUCCGCCCCUUAGUGCUGCAGCUAACGCAUUAAGCACUCCGCCUGGGGAGUACGACCGCAAGGUUGAAACUCAAAGGAAUUGACGGGGACCCGCACAAGCGGUGGAGCAUGUGGUUUAAUUCGAAGCAACGCGAAGAACCUUACCAAAUCUUGACAUCCUUUGACAACUCUAGAGAUAGAGCUUUCCCCUUCGGGGGACAAAGUGACAGGUGGUGCAUGGUUGUCGUCAGCUCGUGUCGUGAGAUGUUGGGUUAAGUCCCGCAACGAGCGCAACCCUUAAGCUUAGUUGCCAUCAUUAAGUUGGGCACUCUAAGUUGACUGCCGGUGACAAACCGGAGGAAGGUGGGGAUGACGUCAAAUCAUCAUGCCCCUUAUGAUUUGGGCUACACACGUGCUACAAUGGACAAUACAAAGGGCAGCGAAACCGCGAGGUCAAGCAAAUCCCAUAAAGUUGUUCUCAGUUCGGAUUGUAGUCUGCAACUCGACUACAUGAAGCUGGAAUCGCUAGUAAUCGUAGAUCAGCAUGCUACGGUGAAUACGUUCCCGGGUCUUGUACACACCGCCCGUCACACCACGAGAGUUUGUAACACCCGAAGCCGGUGGAGUAACCUUUUAGGAGCUAGCCGUCGAA
Molecule: ribosomal RNA, 1429 nt
Filed under: Staphylococcus sp.
Lineage: Bacteria; Bacillati; Bacillota; Bacilli; Caryophanales; Staphylococcaceae
Description: bacterial SSU rRNA
Rfam family: Bacterial small subunit ribosomal RNA
Source: RNAcentral